UACGGGGGGAGCAAGCGUUGUUCGGAUUUACUGGGCGUAAAGCGUGCGCAGGCGGUUCUGUAAGUCUGUCGUGAAAUCCCCGGGCUUAACCUGGGAAUUGCGAUGGAGACUGCAAGGCUAGAAUCUGGCAGAGGGGGGUAGAAUUCCACGUGUAGCAGUGAAAUGCGUAGAGAUGUGGAGGAACACCGAUGGCGAAGGCAGCCAUCUGGACCGACACUGACGCUGAGGCGCGAAAGCGUGGGGAGCAAACAGG
This 253-nucleotide ribosomal RNA is filed under the name uncultured bacterium. RNAcentral describes it as "partial 16S ribosomal RNA". It matches the Rfam family "Bacterial small subunit ribosomal RNA", at positions 524 to 776 of the family's 1533-position model. The record is from RNAcentral.